AUACGGAGGAUCCGAGCGUUAUCCGGAUUUAUUGGGUUUAAAGGGUGCGCAGGCGGCCAUUUAAGUCAGCGGUUAAAUCGUGGGGCUCAACCCCAUUCUGCCGUUGAUACUGGGUGGCUUGAUUGCGGUCGAGGUUGGCGGAAUUCGUUGUGUAGCGGUGAAAUGCAUAGAUAUGACGAAGAACACCGAUUGCGUAGGCAGCUGACCAGACCGCAAAUGACGCUCAUGCACGAAAGUGCGGGGAUCGAACAGGAUUAGAUACCCUGGUAGUCCGCACAGUAAACGAUGAAUACUUGUUUUCGGCGAUAUAAUGUCGGAGGCAAAGCGAAAGCGAUAAGUAUUCCACCUGGGGAGUACGCCGGCAACGGUGAAACUCAAAUGAAUGGACGGGG
This 392-nucleotide ribosomal RNA is filed under the name uncultured bacterium. RNAcentral describes it as "partial 16S ribosomal RNA". It matches the Rfam family "Bacterial small subunit ribosomal RNA", at positions 523 to 918 of the family's 1533-position model. The record is from RNAcentral.